CACACACACACAAUACAGUUGUUGGGGCUGAACGGAUGGCUAUGAAGUUAAGAGCACUUGCUGCUCUUGCAGAGAACUAGAGUUUUGUUCCCAAAAGCCAUUUCAGGCACCUCACCUUCAUCUGUUAACUCCAGCUCCAGGGGAUCUGGCGCCCUCUUCUGGAUUCAGAGGGUACUUGCACUCCUGUGCACAUAGUCACACAAUAUUGAUACAUAAUUUUAAAUUAAUAAAAAUAACUUUUUUAAAGAUUUUAUUUAUUUUAUUUAUGUGUAUACAACAUUCUGCUUACAUGUAUAUCUGCACACCUGAAGAGGGCACCAGAUCUCAUAAGGGAUGGUUGUGAGCCACCAUGUGGUUGCUGGGAAUUGAACUCAGGACCUCUGGAAGAGCAAUCGGUGCUCUUAACCUCUGAGCCAUCUCUCCAGCCCCUAAAAAUAACCUUUUAAAGAUUUAUUUAUUUAUAAUGUAUACAGUGUUCUGCCUACAUGUAUGCCUGCAGGCCAGAAAAGGGCACCAGAUCUCGUUAUAGAUGGUUGUGAGCCACCAUGUGGUUGCUGGGAAUUGAACUCAGGACCUCUGGAAGAGCAGCCAGUGCUCUUAACCUGUGAGCAAUCUCUCCAGCCCAGAAAUAAUUUUUAAAAGAUACAAAUUAUUGCUAAAACUCCUGAAUGUCGCCGGGCAUUGGUGGCGCAAGCCUUUAAUCCCAGCACUCGGGAGGCAGAGGCAGGCAAAUCUCUGUGAGUUCGAGGCCAGCCUGGUCUCCAGAGCGAGUGCCAAGAUAGGCUCCAAAGCUACACAGAGAAACCCUGUCUCGAAAAACCAAAACAAUCAAACAAACAAUCAAAAACUCCUGAAUGUCAUGGUGGUCCCUCUCAGGAACUCUAUACACACAGACAAAGCACCAUCCUGGCCACACCAGGGACUUCCCCCUGUCUUACCUAUGUAUGUGACUUACACUACACACAAGUCGGGUUUCUUCUUUCUGCUCUGUAACAGCCCCAUCCACAGACAGCACCUUUCUUCAGUGCCCUGUGAUGCUCUGGGGCAGUGGUUCACAGCCUUCCUAAUAUGCUGAGACCCUGUCAUACAGUUCCUCAUGACCCCCAACCAUAUUAUUUUUAUUGCUACUGUUAUGAAUUAUAAUGACUAUCUGUGCUUUCCAACGGUCUUAGGUGACCCUGGUGAAAUGGUCAUUUGACACCCCCCCAAAAAAGGGGUCGUGACCCACAAGUUGAGAGUGCUGCUCUAGUGGCUGUGUAUUUGCUGGGUUUGAAUCUUGCAGCAGUCUCGUUAGGCCAUGAUUAUGUAUUUCCCUCUUUAAUGGAUGCAACCAGUUUUCCAGAGUUGUUUGCCUUUCCACACACCCACCAGGAUCUGCACCAAGGCUUGGGCUGCCCUGUAUCCUCGCCCACACUUGCCAAUGUCUGUCUUUUUGUGCUUUGCACUUGUUCAUAAGGGAAUGACCACCUGGUGGAGGCAGUAUCCCACAUCCUUCUGGCAGUGUGAAGAAUGCAUUGCUUGGAGGAGUGGGAAGCAAAGGAAAACGGGGCCAGUCACUUGGCCAACACUUGAGCACCGGAAUUGACAGUGAUGGAGUUGGAAUGAAAAAGGCCAAAAAGCUGCACCACGAGGGGGCGUGUGGAGGCUUGAACACCUAGAAAUGAACUAAGCUGGAGCUGAGAGCCGGGUCCAAGGCCGAAGAACAGACCCCUUCUGGAUACGUGUGAGAUGCUGAGAGGUGACGAAGAUGCUGGGCUCCCGGAUGGCUCGGUGGGCGAGGGGCUCAGGAAUGAGGUCAAGGCUGGAAACAGCUUGAGAUCCACAAGGGUGAGGGUUUGAGUGAGGGGUGUGUCUGAGAUCUCCCAGAGAGUUAUGUGUAGUCAGUGGAAGGCGGAGAAAGGACGCUUGCCUUCAGGGGGCGAGCAGAGGAAGAAGUGGGGGAGACUGCAUCGCUUCCCUCUGAAAUGCUGGCAUGGGCUGAGAAGCGUGAGUCAGGCACUUGCAGCUCCAACAGCCCAAGGUCCGUCUCAGCAGCCGGGACUUUCUCCUGAACGAGCUUGCAUCACCGACCUGAGAAGAUGGUUGUGAAAUCCGCAUCAGGUUGCGUACCUCUGGCAGCGUCUUAGGGACAAUGGGCACCAAAGACUCAUAGCAUCUUGGUGUUGGAGUCCUUUUCGCCUCCACAACUUUGCUGCCAAUUAGCUAUUCCGCACCCCAGGCAGGGAACUCACAACUUCCCACGGCAGCCCACUCCAAUCCUGGGUACACAGGGAUCUAAGAAAAGCCAAUCUCAACUACUUGGGAAGUCAAAGGGAACCAUAAAGCUGUUUCUACUCCAACGGGAAUGCCCUUCAUGGAGUCAAAAGCCAAAGACAUCGUGAAAAAUACUUUUCUAUCCCCCGCCUUCCCCCUACGCCCCCGACACGGUACCUUCCUGCUGGGCUGGGGGUUACAGCGCCUGGCUGCCCCCAGAACGCUGCGGUGAUUGCAUCAGCAUUUGCACACGGCCCCGGAAUGCGCUCAGCCUUGCAGGCAUUCCUCUGGCUCCUUCCAGCAGGGCCUACACCGCCUGGAACCCGGCCAGAGUCUCAGGGCUGAAGCGGUGCGUGCUGCAGCGCAGACCCACUGGGUUGGACACGUGGGAGGGAUGAGCGGCCGCGAUGAGAACAGACCCGCUGCAAGCCGCUUCAAGCUUCCCUCCCUCGGUGUUACCCGCUCCUGCCCUGUGCUGGGCUCUGAGAAAGAGCUGGGCGGAUCUGAUUUUCAAACGGCCCUUCCAGGCAGUGGAUGCUUUGAAAGACAGGCUUGCAAGUAGGAAGGAAAUGUGCAGGGAAUUGAACCCAGGUCUCCUAGAAGGGCAGCCGGUGCUCUUAACCACUGAGCCAUCUCUCCAGCCCCACGGGGCAACCAGAGGAUCCUCUCUGUGCCCGUAUGUUGAUAUCCUCGAUCAAACUCUCCACCUGUCCCAUGCCAACCUCCACUUUGGUGUGAUCAGUUUUUUUAGCUUCCACAAGAGUUAAAU
Molecule: long non-coding RNA, 3022 nt
Filed under: Cricetulus griseus (Chinese hamster)
Lineage: Eukaryota; Metazoa; Chordata; Mammalia; Rodentia; Cricetidae
Description: lncRNA (ENSCGRG00015042638.1)
Source: RNAcentral